CGAAAGACUAUGAUUAGAAGAGUAGAUUUAGGUAAUUAUCACAGAGAGUCGGAACUACGGUGAGAAUCCGAUAUGAGACCUAUUUUGAAGAACAUCUAUGAGUCUCUAACCGAAAUCUGUGGAAAGUAGGCUUAGACGGAUCCAACCCGUUAAGAAUUGGACAGUAUCGAUAUCGAUUAAUUCUGUACUGGAAAGAGAGCUUUUAGCUAAUUAAGGUGGUACCGCGGAAGAUAACCUUUCGUCCUUUAU
RNAcentral lists this non-coding RNA (249 nucleotides) under Gottschalkia purinilytica. RNAcentral's name for it is "Clostridium purinilyticum T-box sequence". It matches the Rfam family "T-box leader". From Rfam's summary of the family: Uncharged tRNA acts as the effector for transcription antitermination of genes in the T-box leader family. T-boxes are found upstream of many aminoacyl-tRNA synthetase genes and some amino acid biosynthetic genes usually in Gram-positive bacteria. Lineage: Bacteria; Bacillati; Bacillota; Tissierellia; Tissierellales; Gottschalkiaceae. The record is from RNAcentral.